GCAUCGAUGAAGAACGUAGCAAAAUGCGAUAAGUAAUGUGAAUUGCAGAAUUCAGUGAAUCAUCGAAUCUUUGAACGCACAUUGCGCCC
RNAcentral lists this ribosomal RNA (89 nucleotides) under Theobroma obovatum. RNAcentral's name for it is "partial 5.8S ribosomal RNA". It matches the Rfam family "5.8S ribosomal RNA", at positions 30 to 118 of the family's 154-position model. From Rfam's summary of the family: 5.8S ribosomal RNA (5.8S rRNA) is a component of the large subunit of the eukaryotic ribosome. It is transcribed by RNA polymerase I as part of the 45S precursor that also contains 18S and 28S rRNA. Functionally, it is thought that 5.8S rRNA may be involved in ribosome translocation. Lineage: Eukaryota; Viridiplantae; Streptophyta; Magnoliopsida; Malvales; Malvaceae. The record is from RNAcentral.